Molecule: ribosomal RNA, 465 nt
Filed under: uncultured bacterium
Lineage: Bacteria
Description: partial 16S ribosomal RNA
Rfam family: Bacterial small subunit ribosomal RNA
Source: RNAcentral
GACGAACGCUGGCGGCGUGCUUAACACAUGCAAGUCGAACGGAAAGGCCCCUUUGGGGGUACUCGAGUGGCGAACGGGUGAGUAACACGUGAGUAACCUGCCCUUGACUUCGGGAUAACUUCAGGAAACUGGGGCUAAUACCGGAUAGGAAUCCUUGCUGCAUGGUGGGGGUUGGAAAGCUUCGGCGGUUUUGGAUGGACUCGCGGCUUAUCAGCUUGUUGGUGGGGUAGUGGCUUACCAAGGCUUUGACGGGUAGCCGGCCUGAGAGGGCUACCGGCCACAUUGGGACUGAGAUACGGCCCAGACUCCUACGGGAGGCAGCAGUGGGGAAUAUUGCACAAUGGGCGGAAGCCUGAUGCAGCAACGCCGCGUGCGGGAUGACGGCCUUCGGGUUGUAAACCGCUUUCAGCAGGGGCGAAGCUUGUGGUGACGGUACCUGCAGAAGAAGCACCGGCUAACUACGUG